Molecule: ribosomal RNA, 61 nt
Filed under: Lodderomyces parapsilosis
Lineage: Eukaryota; Fungi; Ascomycota; Pichiomycetes; Serinales; Debaryomycetaceae
Description: Candida parapsilosis partial 28S ribosomal RNA
Source: RNAcentral
AUUCGACCUCAAAUCAGGUAGGACUACCCGCUGAACUUAAGCAUAUCAAUAGACGGAGGAA